GUUUUAUUUUAAAAAAUUAGCAAAUGGCCUCUAUAUAGUUUCUAAUUAUUUUGAUAUGCUUGGAAAUAUUUCUAUAAUAAUUCUUCUUCCUGGCACUGCAUUCAUGCACAUACCGGACUGCCGCCCUCAUUCAAAAUGGUGUCCGGACAACUUCCGUAUACGUCACUUUCUAGUGACGUCUAGCAACCUUUCAACUCAGGAAUCGGAAACUACAAGGACGUAUCAUACAUAAUCCAUCUCCCGGAAACUGGAAACAGCUCUGCAAACACCGGAACUGGCUGAUGUAAACCCGGCAACAUUUAAAUAGUCGUCUCUUCAUUGAAUGACAUCAACUUUUAAAAAAGCUCCGGCAAAAUGCGUCAAUUGAGGAUUUACUCUGCUUACAGACUUGCUUUAUUUAUUUAUUUUAUUUUUAUAGUGCACUGUAUGUUCAGCAUUUUAUCUUCAUAAUAAAGUACUUUUUUAAUUUUA
Pelobates cultripes (western spadefoot toad) is the source of this 471-nucleotide non-coding RNA. Lineage: Eukaryota; Metazoa; Chordata; Amphibia; Anura; Pelobatidae. The record is from the annotation of a GenBank genome assembly.